RNAcentral lists this ribosomal RNA (497 nucleotides) under uncultured bacterium. RNAcentral's name for it is "partial 16S ribosomal RNA". It matches the Rfam family "Bacterial small subunit ribosomal RNA", at positions 28 to 507 of the family's 1533-position model. The record is from RNAcentral.
GACGAACGCUGGCGGCGUGCCUAAUACAUGCCAGUAGAACGCUGAAGAGAGGAGCUUGCUCUUCUUGGAUGAGUUGCGAACGGGUGAGUAACGCGUAGAUAACCUGCCUUGUAGCGGGGGAUAACUAUUGGAAACGAUAGCUAAUACCGCAUAACAAUAGGUGACACAUGUCAUUUAUUUGAAAGGGGCAAUUGCUCCACUACAAGAUGGACCUGCGUUGUAUUAGCUAGUAGGUGAGGUAACGGCUCACCUAGGCGACGAUACAUAGCCGACCUGAGAGGGUGAUCGGCCACACUGGGACUGAGACACGGCCCAGACUCCUACGGGAGGCAGCAGUAGGGAAUCUUCGGCAAUGGGGGCAACCCUGACCGAGCAACGCCGCGGGAGUGAAGAAGGGUUUCGGAUCGGAAAGCUCUGUUGUAAGUCAAGAACGAGUGUGAGAGUGGAAAGUUCACACUGUGACGGUAGCUUACCAGAAAGGGACGGCUAACUACGUG